Molecule: ribosomal RNA, 511 nt
Filed under: uncultured bacterium
Lineage: Bacteria
Description: bacterial SSU rRNA
Rfam family: Bacterial small subunit ribosomal RNA
Source: RNAcentral
AACGAACACUGGCGGCGUGGUUUAGGCAUGCAAGUCGAACGUGAAAGUUUCCUUCGGGAAAUGAGUAAAGUGGCGAACGGGUGAGUAACGCGUGGGAAACCUUCCCUUCGUUGGGGGAUAACAGUUCUAACGAGCUGCUAAUACCGCAUACGACCUUUGGAUCGCAUGGUCUGGAGGUGAAAGGGGGCGCCCUCUUCGGAGAGCUCCCGACGAUGGAUGGUCCCGCGUCCCAUUAGCUAGUUGGCGGGGUAAUGGCCCACCAAGGCGACGAUGGGUAGCCGGCCUGAGAGGGUGUCCGGCCACACUGGGACGUGAGAUACGGCCCCAGACUCCUACGGGAGGCAGCAGUCGAGAAGCUUCGGCAAUGGGCGAAAGCCUGACCGAGCGACGCCGCGUGAGCGAAGAAGGCCCUAUGGGUUGUAAAGACUCUGUCAGAUUGGGAAGAAAACCUACGUGAUUAAUACCUGCGAGGCUUGACGGUACCAUCAGAGGAAGCACCGGCUAACCCCGU